RNAcentral lists this ribosomal RNA (253 nucleotides) under uncultured bacterium. RNAcentral describes it as "partial 16S ribosomal RNA". It matches the Rfam family "Bacterial small subunit ribosomal RNA", at positions 524 to 776 of the family's 1533-position model. The record is from RNAcentral.
UACGUAGGGUGCAAGCGUUAAUCGGAAUUACUGGGCGUAAAGCGUGCGCAGGCGGUUAUGCAAGACAGAUGUGAAAUCCCCGGGCUUAACCUGGGAACCGCAUUUGUGACUGCAUAGCUGGAGUACGGCAGAGGGGGAUGGAAUUCCGCGUGUAGCAGUGAAAUGCGUAGAUGUGCGGAGGAACACCGAUGGCGAAGGCAGUCCCCUGGGCCUGUACUGACGCUCAUGCACGAAAGCGUGGGGAGCAAACAGG